This 767-nucleotide ribosomal RNA is filed under the name Austrochloritis speculoris. RNAcentral describes it as "partial large subunit ribosomal RNA". Lineage: Eukaryota; Metazoa; Mollusca; Gastropoda; Stylommatophora; Camaenidae. The record is from RNAcentral.
UCGACUAAAAUUUAUGAAAAUAUCUAUACACGAAGUUAAAGGAGCUAGUUAUUAUAUAUUUAUAGAUUCAUGGGAUGUUGCAAAAUUGUUAAGUAAUAAUUAGGGGUGAUAGGCUUACCACAUUUAACGAUAGCUUGAAGGUCGAGAAAUGUACUAGUACGGAGACACUCUUUAAGUGAUAAGGUUUAAAGGGAUAACAAAAAGAAUUGAUUUGUAAAAGUAUCAUAUUUAACCAUAAAUAAAUAAUAAAAUUUAAUAUUAAUUUAUGAAAGUUGUUUAAGUUAGGGACCAAUUUUCCUAAUUCAACGUGAAUCUAUAAUGUUUAUAUUAGUAAUUAAGAAGUAUUUAUAACGAAUUCGGCAAUAAGUCUUUCAACUGUUUAUCAAAAACAUAGCCAUAUGGAAAAAUAUAUGGUAAUUUCUGCUCAAUGAAUAUUAAAUAGCCGCAGUACCCUGACUGUGCUAAGGUAGCGCAAUCAAUUGACUUUUAAUUGAAGUCCCGUAUGAAAGAAACUAUGGAGGGCUACUUUUUCCUAAAUAAUUAUUGAACUUACUUAAAAAGUGCAAAUUCUUUUAUAUUAAAUAAAAGACGAGAAGACCCUAGAAAUUUUGAGGAGUGAACUUUUUGUUGGGGCAACAAAGUAGUAAUUAAUCUACUAUAACAACACGAAAAGAAUAUUUAGCAAGAUUAAAUUACUCUAGGGAUAACAGCAUAAUUUUAAAAAGUUUGUGACCUCGAUGUUGGAUUAGGGAAUUUACAUUUAGAAG